This 429-nucleotide ribosomal RNA is filed under the name Bacillota bacterium. RNAcentral's name for it is "Firmicutes bacterium partial 16S ribosomal RNA". It matches the Rfam family "Bacterial small subunit ribosomal RNA", at positions 355 to 776 of the family's 1533-position model. The record is from RNAcentral. Lineage: Bacteria; Bacillati; Bacillota.
UGGGGAAUUUUGGACAAUGGGCGAAAGCCUGAUCCAGCAAUGCCGCGUGCAGGAUGAAGGCCCUCGGGUUGUAAACUGCUUUUGUACGGAACGAAAAGCCUGGGGCUAAUAUCCCCGGGUCCUGACGGUACCGUAAGAAUAAGCACCGGCUAACUACGUGCCAGCAGCCGCGGUAAUACGUAGGGUGCAAGCGUUAAUCGGAAUUACUGGGCGUAAAGCGUGCGCAGGCGGUUUUGUAAGACAGUGGUGAAAUCCCCGGGCUCAACCUGGGAACUGCCAUUGAGACUGCAAGGCUAGAGUGCGGCAGAGGGGGAUGGAAUUCCGCGUGUAGCAGUGAAAUGCGUAGAUAUGCGGAGGAACACCGAUGGCGAAGGCAAUCCCCUGGGCCUGCACUGACGCUCAUGCACGAAAGCGUGGGGAGCAAACAGG